Molecule: ribosomal RNA, 508 nt
Filed under: uncultured bacterium
Lineage: Bacteria
Description: SSU rRNA
Rfam family: Bacterial small subunit ribosomal RNA
Source: RNAcentral
AGGACGAACGCUGGCGGCGCGCUUAACACAUGCAAGUCGAGCGAGAACCAGGCCUUCGGGCCUGGGGAAAGCGGCGAACGGGUGAGUAACACGUGGGUAACCCACCCUUGGUACCGGGAUAGCCCGAGGAAACUCGGAUUAAUACCGGAUGGCCCAACAGCUUCUCGGAGCGGUUGGAAAAGGUAGCUUCGGCCUCCGACCAAGGACGGGCCCGCGGUGGAUUAGCUUGUUGGUGAGGUAACGGCUCACCAAGGCUUCGAUCCAUAGCUGGUCUGAGAGGACGAUCAGCCACACUGGGACUGAGACACGGCCCAGACUCCUACGGGAGGCAGCAGUGGGGAAUCUUGCGCAAUGGGCGAAAGCCUGACGCAGCGACGCCGCGUGGGGGAGAAGGCUUUCGGGUGUAAACCCCUUUCAGGAAGGACGAAGCCACUCGGGUUAAUAGCCCAGAGGGUGACGGUACUUCCAGAAGAAGCCCCGGCUAACUACGCGCCAGCAGCCGCGGUAA